Molecule: ribosomal RNA, 465 nt
Filed under: Vreelandella stevensii
Lineage: Bacteria; Pseudomonadati; Pseudomonadota; Gammaproteobacteria; Oceanospirillales; Halomonadaceae
Description: partial 16S ribosomal RNA
Rfam family: Bacterial small subunit ribosomal RNA
Source: RNAcentral
CCUACGGGGGGCAGCAGUGGGGAAUAUUGGACAAUGGGGGCAACCCUGAUCCAGCCAUGCCGCGUGUGUGAAGAAGGCCCUCGGGUUGUAAAGCACUUUCAGUGAGGAAGAACGCCUGGUGGUUAAUACCCAUCAGGAAAGACAUCACUCACAGAAGAAGCACCGGCUAACUCCGUGCCAGCAGCCGCGGUAAUACGGAGGGUGCGAGCGUUAAUCGGAAUUACUGGGCGUAAAGCGCGCGUAGGUGGCUUGAUAAGCCGGUUGUGAAAGCCCCGGGCUCAACCUGGGAACGGCAUCCGGAACUGUCAAGCUAGAGUGCAGGAGAGGAAGAUAGAAUUCCCGGUGUAGCGGUGAAAUGCGUAGAGAUCGGGAGGAAUACCAGUGGCGAAGGCGGCCUUCUGGACUGACACUGACACUGAGGUGCGAAAGCGUGGGUAGCAAACAGGAUUAGAUACCCCGGUAGUC